GACGAACGCUGGCGGCGUGCCUAAUACAUGCAAGUCGAACGAGAGCAACCGGUGCUUGCACUGGUCAAUCUAGUGGCGAACGGGUGAGUAACACGUGGGUAACCUGCCCAUCAGAGGGGGAUAACAUCCGGAAACGGAUGCUAAAACCGCAUAGGUCUUCGAACCGCAUGGUUUGAAGAGGAAAAGAGGCGCAAGCUUCUGCUGAUGGAUGGACCCGCGGUGCAUUAGCUAGUUGGUGAGGUAACGGCUCACCAAGGCCGUGAUGCAUAGCCGACCUGAGAGGGUGAUCGGACACAUUGGGACUGAGACACGGCCCAAACUCCUACGGGAGGCAGCAGUAGGGAAUCUUCCGCAAUGGACGCAAGUCUGACGGAGCAACGCCGCGUGAGUGAAGAAGGUGUUCGGAUCGUAAAACUCUGUUGUUAGAGAAGAACAAGUGCUAGAGUAACUGUUAGCGCCUUGACGGUAUCUAACCAGAAAGCCACGGCUAACUACGUG
Molecule: ribosomal RNA, 498 nt
Filed under: uncultured bacterium
Lineage: Bacteria
Description: partial 16S ribosomal RNA
Rfam family: Bacterial small subunit ribosomal RNA
Source: RNAcentral